UUUUCAUCCAUGGGAUAAGGUUUCGCGUAACGCGAAGUAACAGGGAAUCGUGUGCAAAUCACGAGCUGUCGCGCAACUGUAAGUAACGCAUAAGCUUUUGCCGGAGAUGCCCACUGUUCCAGCGACGGAAUGGGAAGGGCGGCAAAAGAGUUACGAGCCAGGAGACCUACCUUAUCCGCAGCGGCGAU
This 188-nucleotide non-coding RNA is filed under the name Chromatiales bacterium. The record is from RNAcentral. Lineage: Bacteria; Pseudomonadati; Pseudomonadota; Gammaproteobacteria; Chromatiales.